GGGGGAUAUUGCACAAUGGGGGAAACCCUGAUGCAGCGACGCCGCGUGUAGGAAGACGGUUCUCUGGAUUGUAAACUACUGUCUUCGGGGACGAUAAUGACGGUACCCGAGGAGGAAGCCACGGCUAACUACGUGCCAGCAGCCGCGGUAAUACGUAGGUGGCAAGCGUUGUCCGGAUUUACUGGGCGUAAGGGAGCGUAGGCGGAUACUUAAGUGGGAUGUGAAAUACCUGGGCUUAACUUGGGUGCUGCAUUCCAAACUGGGUGUCUAGAGUGUUGGACAGGAAAGUGGAAUUCCUAGUGUAGCGGUGAAAUGCGUAGAGAUUAGGAAGAACACCAGUGGCGAAGGCGACUUUCUGGACAAUAACUGACGCUGAGGCUCGAAAGCGUGGGGAGCAAAC
RNAcentral lists this ribosomal RNA (400 nucleotides) under uncultured bacterium. RNAcentral describes it as "bacterial SSU rRNA". It matches the Rfam family "Bacterial small subunit ribosomal RNA", at positions 356 to 773 of the family's 1533-position model. The record is from RNAcentral.